RNAcentral lists this ribosomal RNA (468 nucleotides) under uncultured bacterium. Its description in RNAcentral is "partial 16S ribosomal RNA". It matches the Rfam family "Bacterial small subunit ribosomal RNA", at positions 28 to 507 of the family's 1533-position model. The record is from RNAcentral.
GACGAACGCUGGCGGCGUGCUUAACACAUGCAAGUCGAACGGAAAGGCCCUGCUUUUUUGGGGUGCUCGAGUGGCGAACGGGUGAGUAACACGUGAGUAACCUGCCCUUGACUUUGGGAUAACUUCAGGAAACUGGGGCUAAUACCGGAUAGGAGCUCCUGCUGCAUGGUGGGGGUUGGAAAGUUUCGGCGGUUGGGGAUGGACUCGCGGCUUAUCAGCUUGUUUGUGGGGUAGUGGCUUACCCAGGCUUUGCCGGGUAGCCGGCCUGAGAGGGUGACCGGCCACAUUGGGACUGAGAUACGGCCCAGACUCCUACGGGAGGCAGCAGUGGGGAAUAUUGCACAAUGGGCGGAAGCCCGAUGCAGCAACGCCGCGUGCGGGAUGACGGCCUUCGGGUUGUAAACCGCUUUCGCCUGUGACGAAGCGUUAGUGACGGUAAUGGGUAAAGAAGCACCGGCUAACUACGUG